UACGAAGGGGGCUAGCGUUGCUCGGAAUCACUGGGCGGUAAAGCGCACGUAGGCGGAUUGCUAAGUCAGGGGUGAAAUCCUGGAGCUCAACUCCAGAACUGCCUUUGAUACUGGCGAUCUUGAGUCCGGGGAGAGGUGAGUGGAACUGCGAGUGUAGAGGUGAAAUUCGUAGAUAUUCGCAAGAACACCAGUGGCGAAGGCGGCUCACUGGCCCGGUACUGACGCUGAGGUGCGAAAGCGUGGGGAGCAAACAGGG
This 256-nucleotide ribosomal RNA is filed under the name uncultured bacterium. RNAcentral's name for it is "partial 16S ribosomal RNA". It matches the Rfam family "Bacterial small subunit ribosomal RNA", at positions 524 to 777 of the family's 1533-position model. The record is from RNAcentral.